UGGGGAAUUUUUCGCAAUGGGGGAAACCCUGACGAAGCAACGCCGCGUGGAGGAUGAAGGCCUUCGGGUCGUAAACUCCUGUCGACCGGGAAGAAUGCACCCGACCUAAUACGUCGAAGUGUUGACUGUACCGGUGGAGGAAGCCACGGCUAACUCUGUGCCAGCAGCCGCGGUAAUACAGAGGUGGCAAGCGUUGUUCGGAAUUACUGGGCGUAAAGGGCGCGUAGGCGGCCCGCCAAGUCCCGUGUGAAAGCCCCCGGCUCAACCGGGGAACGGCGCGGGAAACUAGCAGGCUUGAGUUCGGGAGAGGGAAGCGGAAUUCCGGGUGUAGCGGUGAAAUGCGCAGAUAUCCGGAGGAACACCGGUGGCGAAGGCGGCUUCCUGGACCGACACUGACGCUGAGGCGCGAAAGCUAGGGGAGCAAACGGG
RNAcentral lists this ribosomal RNA (429 nucleotides) under uncultured bacterium. RNAcentral describes it as "bacterial SSU rRNA". It matches the Rfam family "Bacterial small subunit ribosomal RNA", at positions 355 to 776 of the family's 1533-position model. The record is from RNAcentral.